GAUGAAGAACGUAGCGAAAUGCGAUACGUAAUGUGAAUUGCAAAUUCAGUGAAUCAUCGAGUCUUUGAACGCACAUUGCGCCCCCUGGUAUUCCGGGGGGCAUGCCUGUCCGAGCGUCAUUGCUGCCCUCAAGCACGGCUUGUGUGUUGGGCCCCGUCCUCCGAUCCCGGGGGACGGGCCCGAAAGGCAGCGGCGGCACCGCGUCCGGUCCUCGAGCGUAUGGGGCUUUGUCACCCGCUCUGUAGGCCCGGCCGGCGCUUGCCGAUCAACCCAAAUUUUUUAUCCAGGUUGACCUCGGAUCAGGUAGGGAUACCCGCUGAACUUAAGCAUAUCAAUAAGCGGAGG
This 345-nucleotide unclassified non-coding RNA is filed under the name soil metagenome. RNAcentral describes it as "partial contains 5.8S ribosomal RNA, internal transcribed spacer 2, and large subunit ribosomal RNA". The stretch from base 1 to 119 matches the Rfam family "5.8S ribosomal RNA", at positions 35 to 154 of the family's 154-position model. The record is from RNAcentral.